Molecule: ribosomal RNA, 765 nt
Filed under: uncultured Streptococcus sp.
Lineage: Bacteria; Bacillati; Bacillota; Bacilli; Lactobacillales; Streptococcaceae
Description: bacterial SSU rRNA
Rfam family: Bacterial small subunit ribosomal RNA
Source: RNAcentral
GACGAACGCUGGCGGCGUGCCUAAUACAUGCAAGUAGAACGCUGAAGAGAGGAGCUUGCUCUUCUUGGAUGAGUUGCGAACGGGUGAGUAACGCGUAGGUAACCUGCCUGGUAGCGGGGGAUAACUAUUGGAAACGAUAGCUAAUACCGCAUAAUAGCAGUUAUUGCAUGAUAACUGUUUGAAAGGUGCAAUUGCACCACUACCAGAUGGACCUGCGUUGUAUUAGCUAGUUGGUGGGGUAACGGCUCACCAAGGCGACGAUACAUAGCCGACCUGAGAGGGUGAUCGGCCACACUGGGACUGAGACACGGCCCAGACUCCUACGGGAGGCAGCAGUAGGGAAUCUUCGGCAAUGGACGGAAGUCUGACCGAGCAACGCCGCGUGAGUGAAGAAGGUUUUCGGAUCGUAAAGCUCUGUUGUAAGAGAAGAACGAGUGUGAGAGUGGAAAGUUCACACUGUGACGGUAUCUUACCAGAAAGGGACGGCUAACUACGUGCCAGCAGCCGCGGUAAUACGUAGGUCCCGAGCGUUGUCCGGAUUUAUUGGGCGUAAAGCGAGCGCAGGCGGUUAGAUAAGUCUGAAGUUAAAGGCUGUGGCUUAACCAUAGUACGCUUUGGAAACUGUUUAACUUGAGUGCAAGAGGGGAGAGUGGAAUUCCAUGUGUAGCGGUGAAAUGCGUAGAUAUAUGGAGGAACACCGGUGGCGAAAGCGGCUCUCUGGCUUGUAACUGACGCUGAGGCUCGAAAGCGUGGGGAGCAAACAGG